This 253-nucleotide ribosomal RNA is filed under the name uncultured bacterium. RNAcentral's name for it is "partial 16S ribosomal RNA". It matches the Rfam family "Bacterial small subunit ribosomal RNA", at positions 524 to 776 of the family's 1533-position model. The record is from RNAcentral.
UACGUAGGGGGCGAGCGUUGUCCAGAUUUAUUGGGCGUAAAGAGCUCGUAGGCGGCUGUUCGAGUCGGGUGUGAAAUCCUGAGGCUUAACCUUGGGUCUGCAGUCGAUACGGGCAGGCUAGAGUUCGGUAGGGGAGACUGGAAUUCCAGGUGUAGCGGUGAAAUGCGUAGAUAUCUGGAGGAAUACCGGUGGCGAAGGCGGCAUCCUGGACCGACAUUGACGCUGAUGAGCGAAAGCUAGGGGAGCAAACGGG